CCUGCCACGUGCAUCGCAGUGGAUAAAAACUGGAAGGACUAGUUUUGUCUUUCUCUUUCUGCCUGUCGUCGUGUUAACGAGUGUGUGGGCCUUCGGGCCACACACACACAUACAGCUCUCGCCAUCGUCCACGGUACUCGAUCUAAAGUCCUGUGUUUUUGAUGCAGCAAGAUUAGGAAUUGCAAUAUACCGUAAAAAUGAACGCUGUGACAGUCCCGUCGGACUAACGAGUAGCACAUGCCGCAGGGCAUUCAUGAAUGUGUUUUUUUCUUAUAACAUAUCGAAUAUAGGCUAAUCAAGAAAAGUAUUUUUGUGAUUUAUAUAGGUUAAUCAAGAAAUGUGUGUUUUUGUGAUUUAAUAAAUGUAUAUUUAAAAGAGAAAUACUGAUUCAUGCAUGCCUUAUUGGGUUUUGAACCCUCACAAAUGACUCCAGCAGAAAAAUCAAAAUUAAACAUUAAUAAUUGAAGAUCAUUUCAAGAAGACCUGGACAGAAUCAUUUGGAGUUACUGAAUACAAUAGGAAAGGAUUAAGCACUCCGUGCGGGGAAAGUAUUGUGUGAUGCACAUCUAGUGUCAGACGGCACUUUAACACCAUCCACAAAAUUUUUGAUGAACUUUAUGAAGCUGAACGGAAGAAAGUUGGUUUUUGCAAUUAUCUUUCUAAAACAAACCAUCUAACAACGACUAGCUUUCAAAUUUCACUAUGCCUGGCAAAGCGCUUUCCGAUGGGGAUUUAAUCAAAGAGAUCAUGUUGUCUGGGAGUAAUUCCCUUUUUCAUGACUUUCCAAAUAAGAACAAAAUUAAACAACGUAUGGCUGAGAUGCCAUUUAGCAGAAAUACUGUUAAAGAUCGAGUCCUGCGGAUGGCAAGUGAUAUAGGUCAAAAGCUCACCACUGACUUGCAAAAGGCAGCUGUUACCCAAUGUGCGUAGAUUGAAAGCACAGAUAUAAAAAACUAUGCAAGGCUAGCAAUAGUUUUGCGUUAUGCUGUUGGUGAUACGGUGAGAGAAGAGCUGAUUAAAUUGGCAUCUUUGUUCGAAGGAACAGAAGGAAUAUAUAUUCACAAUGCUGUGAUGGGAGCUUUUUUACAACAAGCCAUAAAACUGGAAAAGGUAGGUUCAAUUACUAGUCAUGGUACGCCUUACAUGUUGGGAACAGCAUCUGGUUUCAUAGAGUUCUUUGUUAAAGAAGCAAAACAGCUAGUUAUUCAGUUUCAUUGUCUCAUUCACCAAGAAGCUCUUUGUGCGAGAGACAGCUGCAAAAUAUUAGAUGCUGUUCUCAAAGAUGUCACCAAAAUGGUGAAUUACAUCACAGUUCGAGCUCUUAAUUGUCGACAGUUUCAAGCACUUCUUGAUGAGGUUCAAGCACAAUAUAACGCUUUGUACAAUAAUGUCUGAUGGUUGAGCAGAGGACGGGUUUUAGAGAUAUGUGUAAGCUGUUUAGAUGAAAUUAGGCUAUUUUUGAAUGAAAAAGGGCAGGAUUAUCCGCAGCUCACUUAUAUGGUCUGGCUUAACAAACGUUAAGUUUUUACCGAUUUUACACAGAACUUCAAUGUAUUGAAUGAGCAACUGCAAGCCUUAUAAAAAUGAGAGAAAGAAUGUUUUGCGAUAUAAAAACAUUUGUUUAUAGACAAAACUUCCUGUUUUUGAAAGAGAUUUUGCAAGUUGGCAGCUGAACUAUUUUCCAAAUCUAAAGAUGCAUCUAGAAAAUUCUAUACAAUUUGCACACAGUCCUUCAAGUCAUGAAGAAAUCUACAAAGAAUUUCCGGGCAUCGUAGCAGCUGCAAAGGAGAGUUUUAAUGACAGAUUUCCCUACAGUUCCGUCAUAUGGAAACAAACAUGUGUUUUCUUACUUCUCCAAAUAAAUCUAAGUUUGAAGAACUUGAUCUUUCUUGCUUAUUCAAGAAAUCUCUACAUGGAAAAGAAAAUUAUCUGAUCUGUGCGCAUCACUUGUUAAGAGAUCACACAUGAUAGCACAAUUGAUAGUUAUGAAGACGAAAUCCUUUGAAAGCCUGGAAUUUUCUGUCAAAUAAGUUUAAAUCAAUGGAAACACUUUGGGGUGCUAUUCUUACCUUGUUUGGAUCAUCUUAUGAGUGGGAACAGCUGUUUUCAGCUUUGAAUUAUAUCAAAUAUGACAUAAGAACAGAUUGACAGAUAACCUGAGUGCUGCAUGUGUUGCGCUCAAAUUAAAAAAGUAUGAGACAAGGUUUGACAAAUUAUCAGUAUGUAUACAACAGAAAAAAAAAAAUCUGAAAUGUUUCAGAUUUUAAAUUACGUCCAAAGAGGCGUUUUUUAACA
This is a long non-coding RNA of Stegodyphus dumicola, 2295 nucleotides long. Lineage: Eukaryota; Metazoa; Arthropoda; Arachnida; Araneae; Eresidae. The record is from RefSeq and is a predicted model, not a curated record.